GGGUUUGUAGCUCAGGCGGUUAGAGCGUUGCCCUGAUAAGGCAAAGGUCGAUGGUUCAAGUCCAUCUAAACCCACCA
RNAcentral lists this transfer RNA (77 nucleotides) under Rickettsiales bacterium. RNAcentral describes it as "tRNA-Ile". It matches the Rfam family "tRNA". Rfam says of the family: Transfer RNA (tRNA) molecules are approximately 80 nucleotides in length. Their secondary structure includes four short double-helical elements and three loops (D, anti-codon, and T loops). Lineage: Bacteria; Pseudomonadati; Pseudomonadota; Alphaproteobacteria; Rickettsiales. The record is from RNAcentral.